This 1274-nucleotide long non-coding RNA is filed under the name Numida meleagris (helmeted guineafowl). RNAcentral's name for it is "lncRNA (ENSNMEG00000010109.1)". The record is from RNAcentral. Lineage: Eukaryota; Metazoa; Chordata; Aves; Galliformes; Numididae.
GCCCUAUGACAUCAUGGUGAUGCUGUGGGAGGAAAGGGGAAGACGAAGUCACUUCUGGGAAGACAAAGUCACUUCUGAGAAAAUCUGCCACCAUGCAGCUUUUCCAACCACAAUUUGUCUAUCUGCCUCCCUCUCAAGGAGCAGAGAGCUCACCUCCCUGCCUGCCCCUUCCUUUGCAGCUACGGCGUCUCUAAUGCAAUUAACUCACCGGCCUCCAUUUCACACAUUUUGGAUGAUGUGUUACAUUCCCUGGAAAACUGGUGCUGGCUCAUGAAUAGGCAAUGGAUUGUUUCCUUCUCCCUGCCUGGAGGAGAGAAAAGAGGAAGAUGCCACAAGGAUGCCUUUCCACUUUGGGAAAAUAGUAGCUUACAAAUGCAAAUGUUGCUUUUUUUGUUUUUAUUCUUUAUGAGACUCUACAUAAGAAAGGCUUUAAAAAACAGCAUAACACAGACUCGCCUACAGAGGUUGGGAGUGAGGCGAGUGCAUAGUGAUGUGGAGGGCUGUGAGCAGCAGUCAGAGAUUAACUAGAUGUCAGGAGAAGACCUUUAGAGCUGGAGCACAAUCCUGGUGGUACGCUGAGAGAGACCAACCCAUGGAUGGGCUGAAAUGAGAAGAAUGAGAUGAGAAUUCCCCAGUGGUGAGUAAGGUCAGAAGGGUUAUCCACCUCCAAGCAGGGGUCAGGGUGACAGGGGACUGUGAUAGGACCAUGGGGUCCCUGUGCCAUGCUCGUACCAGGGCUGGGGAGCAAGGCAAGCAGGUUGUUUCUUCCCCUCUGCAAAACAUCUCACUCAGACAGUGAUUAUUUCCCUCCGAUGGGCGCUUUUGUUGGUGUUUUCCGUGCAGCCAGCUAGCCACUGCGUGAGAAAAAAAUUUCUCUUUAGUUGCAGGAGUUGGUAUACCUGGAAGUUUGACUCAAACUCACUUAGAUGUUCCAAUAACAAGAUAUUAAAGCUGUAAUGGGUGUUAUGUUAACAGGCUGUGGUGUCUGUUUUAGUUUAAGGCUUACAUCUUCUAUAGUUCAGCAUGAGGCUCUCUGUUCUUUAUGAAAAAUGCUAAAACAGCAGUGCUCUCUUAGCUCUCUGUUUAAGUAUUUUUCUUUCAGUCCUUGACUAAAGGUAUUAUUAAAAAUAGGAAGUUACAUAAAAGAUCCUGUAUCUCUUUGCCAUAAGUGUACCAAAUAGGAUUACCAACUCAACAAACAUUUAAAAUACAUUUACCCACCCUCUUACCUUCCUGAAAUUGAUGUACGCUUUAUAUCAGAGAUUAAUUGAAUU